CAGGCUCAGAGCGAUGGAGGAACGUUCUCAGCAUCCCCUGGAGGCAGGCUCUGAAGCCAAGAAGUCGACCUCUGAACUUCCAUGCUCUUUAGUGUUGAAAGAAGACCACAGACGGAGCAAGGCUGUAAGCUCCUGGAGUAUGAGAGAUGUGCCCUGGACCAUACUUGGCCUCCCAGCCCUAGUCUCCAGUGAGGGUCUUGAAAGUGCUGUGAUGAUGACAGCAAGACAGGGGGAUCCAGGGAAGAACACUGGCAGCAACUCAUACAUCUUGAACACUCAGCCCAGAGCUGCUAUCAGUUCCUCACCUGCGUCACCUGGAUUCAUCCUCACCACCAGCCCAUGAGGGAAGAGCUCUAUCAUCUGCAUCUCACAGAGAAGGGAAGCGAG
Molecule: long non-coding RNA, 387 nt
Organism: Globicephala melas (long-finned pilot whale)
Lineage: Eukaryota; Metazoa; Chordata; Mammalia; Artiodactyla; Delphinidae
Source: RefSeq, a predicted model, not a curated record